AAUCAACGCUGGCGGCGUGCCUAACACAUGCAAGUCGAACGAGAAAGUGGAGCAAUCCAUGAGUAAAGUGGCGACCGGGUGAGUAACACGUGACUAACCUACCUUCGAGUGGGGGAUAACCUCGGGAAACCGGGGCUAAUACCGCAUAACAUCUUUGAAGUGGAAAUUUCGGAGAUCAAAGGAGCAAUUCGCUGGAAGAGGGGGUCGCGGCUGAUUAGCUAGUUGGCGGGGUAACGGCCCACCAAGGCUUAGAUCGGUAGCCGGCCUGAGAGGGCGCACGGCCACACUGGAACUGAACACGGUCCAGACUCCUACGGGAGGCAGCAGUGGGGAAUUUUGCGCAAUGGGGGAAAGCCUGACGCAGCGACGCCGCGUGAGGGAUGAC
This 385-nucleotide ribosomal RNA is filed under the name uncultured bacterium. RNAcentral's name for it is "bacterial SSU rRNA". It matches the Rfam family "Bacterial small subunit ribosomal RNA", at positions 32 to 412 of the family's 1533-position model. The record is from RNAcentral.